This is a long non-coding RNA of Canis lupus familiaris (dog), 3562 nucleotides long. RefSeq lists it as uncharacterized. The transcript has 3 exons. The record is from RefSeq and is a predicted model, not a curated record. Lineage: Eukaryota; Metazoa; Chordata; Mammalia; Carnivora; Canidae.
GGAGGAGGAGGAGAAGGAGAAGGAGAAGGAGAAGGAGAAGGAGAAGGAGAAGGAGAAGGAGAAGAAGAAGAUCACAAACCCCAGGCAGCCCCAGGCUGACUGCUGCGGCCCGGACCCCCCUCACCCAUCGCAAAAGCAGAUCGACAUUGACAGCAGACAGCCAGGUCUCCGAGAUGGCAUCAAGCAUGCCAGUGAAGAUGAAACUCAGGAUGACAACACAAGGGAGCUGCCAAGCUGGAUGCCGAUGUGGAAUUCCGCCCCUCAGGGCACUGUUGGAGCAUUUCAAAGAGGUUACUUGCUACUGGAGAGACCAAGAGAGAGCACAAGUAGGCAGAGGGGCGGACAGAGGGAGAAGAAGAAGUGGGCUCCUCGCUGAGCAGGGAGCCCGACGUGGGGCUUGAUCCCAGGACCCCGAGAUCAUGACCUGAGCUGAAGACAGAAGCUUAACAGACUGAGCCACCCAGGCCCCCUUGAGUCAUAUUUCUUUUGUGACCAUUGAGGUUUGAACACGGGUUAUGUUUUUAUUGUAUUUGCAUUUCGUCUUCUGUGAUUUGCUUUUCCAUAUCAUCUUGUGGUCCCCCCGACGCCACGGUGUGUGCAUGAGUUUCCCAGGGCUGCCGUAGCACAGAACUACUGCAUGGCUUAAAACAACAGAAAUUUAUUCUCUCAUAGUUCUGGAGGUGGGAAGCCUGAAAUUAAAGCAGGAAGGUCACAUUCACAGGGGGGUCGAAUGUGAAUAUUUCUUUUUUUUUUUCUGGGGUGGAGGGGCAGGGAGACACAAUUAAACCUACUACAGCGUGCUUGUCUUUUCUUUAGUAGUUUGUAACCACUUUAUGCUUCAACUUUUCACUCUUCAGACUGGCACCUGCCCCUCUGUUUGGUUAGAGCGGGACAGAGAUUUGACUGAACCUGAGGCAGGUAGGAUCUUACACCCAGCUACCUUGGGAGUCAUGAGACCCAUGGGUCUCAGGAGUUCCUGCAUUAAGCCUUUCUUCCUGGAGAAGCUAAGUGACAGAGGAAGAAAGAAAAGAGCUAUCUUCCUGGCACUGCUGUGAGUGACUACUGGCAGCUCUUCCAGGAGCAGUCCUUGAAACCACUGGUCAGGUGGAUGAUGAUCAGGAUGGGAUCAGACUGAGCCACCAACGACAGUCUCUGAAUGAUGAAUGACCACUGGGAAGGGUGUCAUUUGGCUUCAUUGGAACUUUCUGGGCUUAUAUGAGGCUGUUUGGCUAAUGUUCGUUUGUUAAAACAUGAUUUAUCCUUCUUCCUGCUUCUCAAGCACUCAAGUGUUUCAAUAGCAGCUUAGCCUUUGAACUUAUAGUUUCCUUGCACCUGCAUGGAUCAUGCUCAUCAUAGGAAGCAGAACUAUUACAAGCUAAGAAGACUCUGUUCUCCCAGGCCUCUGCAGGGGCCUUUCCUAGUCCGGUAGGAGGAUAGAGAAGAAUUGGCUUCAAUUUCCAGAUUAGUUAAACUGGAACAGUAGUCCAGCGGCAAGUUUCACUGGAACCCCAAUCUGGAGCCUUCUCUUUUACAACCUCACCUCUGAGGAGUGGCUCUGCAGAGUCAAGAACAAGGCAAAACUCCUGAGAGCCUCUGAGUCUCUGAGUGGGGAGGGCUUUUUUCCAAGAUGGUAAGGAGGUGGUGUGCCAGUAGGUCUGUUCGACAAUGAGCCUGAGGCAAUAAGCAGUGUGGCAGCUCAACUUUUAUCUUUCUCAUUGGGAUGGUAAGUAGUGAGUGAUGUCAGGGCCAGGAGAGGCAGUGAAGGUGGAGAAAAUUGCAGCGUGCCCACCACCAUACACUCCUGCUCAGGGAGGACUGUGAGCAUCAAUACAAAUGGCUUCCAGAAGCUGAAAGCUUAUCAGUGGAAAAGUGCUGGGGACUCUUGAAUUUAGGAGAAAAUAUAGACCUGCUUUUGAAUCCCAGCUCUGCAAGUUGCUAGCUAAGUAGCAUGAGUUAAUUCUCUUAAUCUCUUUUAAGUUUCAGUUUAUUUUUUGUAAAAGUAAGAUAAUAUUUUCACAAGUUGUUUACCAGUAAAAUAAAGUAAUGUUGAAGAAAAGCCCAUCAGAGGGUCUGGCACAUAUCUUACCGUAUACAAAAAUCAGCUCAAAAUGGAUUAGACUUGAAUGUAAGACUGGAAACCAUAAAAUUCCCAGAAGAAAACAUAGGCAAGAAACUCUUGGACAUCAGCAUUAGCAACAGUUUUCUGGAAUUGUCUCCCCAGACAAGAAAGACAAAAGCACAAAUAAACAAUUGGGAUUGAAUCAAACUAAAAUGUUUUUGCCUAGUGAAAGAAAAACUGUCAACAAAAUACAAAGACAAACUACUGAAUGGGAGAAGAUAUUUGCAAACCAUCUAUCCAAUGAAAGAUUCAUAUCCAAAAUAUAUAAAGAAUUCAUAAAACUCAAUAACAAAAAGACAAAGAAUUAAAUUAAAUUCUGACUAGACAUUUUUCCAGAGAAGACAUACCAGUGGCCAACAAACUAAUACAUACAAAUGUUCAACAUCACUAAUCAUCAGGGAAAUAAAAAUAAAAACCACAGUGAGGUAUCACUUUGCACCUGUCAGAGUGGCUAGUAUCAAAAAGACAAGAAACAGCAAGUGUUGGUGAGAAGGUGGAGAAAAGAGAACCCCGAUACAUUGUGGUGGGAAUGUAAAUUGGCUCAGCAACUAUAGACAACAGUAGAGUUUCCUCCAAAAAUUAAAAAUAGAGCUACCAUAUGAUCCAGCGAUUCCACUGCUGAGUAUCUAUCUGAAGAAAACGAAAACACGAAUUCAAAAAGACAUAUGCACCCCUAUGUUAAUUGCAGCAUUAUUUACAAUAGCAAAGAUAGGGAAGCAAUCUAAGUGUCCAUCGGUAGACGCGUGGAUAGAGAAGAUGUGGUGUAUGUAUACAGUGGAAUAUUACUCUGCCAUAAAAAGGAAUGAAAUCUUGUCAUUUGUGACAACACGGGCGGAUCUUGAGUGUAUUAUGGUAAAUAAAAUAAGUAAGACAGAGAGAGACACAAAUACCACAUGAUUUCACUUACAUGUGGAAUAAAGCAUAACAAAAAAAUAAAAUGAAAUAAAACCCAGACUCACAGAUACAGAGAAUAGGCUGGUGGUUGCCAGUUGGGGUGGGGAAGAGGAUUAAGAAGUAUAAAACUCAAGUUAUAAAGUAAAUAAGUCAUGGGAAUGUAAUCUAAAGUAUGGGGAAUAUGGUCUAUAGCAUUGUAUUAACUUUGUAAAGGUGACAGGUGGUAACUAGACUUAUUGUGGUGACUAUUUCUCCGUGUAUACAAAUGUCAAAUCACUAUGCUGUAUACCUGAAACUAAUAUAAUAUUGUAUAUCAAUUAUAUCUCAGUAAUAAAAAAAAAGAAACAGUCUUUUGAAGGAUUAGGCAUUUUCAUCACCAGGGGGAAUGAGAUACCACAAGGACUACUUCGGUCUUCUUCCCAGGGGGUUCAUAACUCCAUAGACUAAGACUCUGGUUAUGUGUAUGGGGCAAGGGACAUUAUGCUUUGUGUGAUUGAAUGUGUGAUUCAUUUGACACUGAGAAUAAAACCCGGUUGAAUAAUAAGAAAA